UGGACUUUAGUUUAUAUGGCUAAAACACUGGAGGCAGACGAUAUUUAUAUUGGUCACCACCGGAGAAUAUGCGGUUCAAAUCCCAUUAGGUCCAU
RNAcentral lists this transfer RNA (95 nucleotides) under candidate division WWE3 bacterium. Its description in RNAcentral is "tRNA-OTHER". RNAcentral also lists the same sequence under 1 other name. The record is from RNAcentral. Lineage: Bacteria; candidate division WWE3.